AUUGAACGCUGGCGGCAGGCUUAACACAUGCAAGUCGAGCGGGGAAAGGUAGCUUGCUACCUGACCUAGCGGCGGACGGGUGAGUAAUGCUUAGGAAUCUGCCUAUUAGUGGGGGGCAACAUCUCGAAAGGGAUGCUAAUACCGCAUACGUCCUACGGGAGAAAGCAGGGGACCUUCGGGCCUUGCGCUAAUAGAUGAGCCUAAGUCGGAUUAGCUAGUUGGUGGGGUAAAGGCCUACCAAGGCGACGAUCUGUAGCGGGUCUGAGAGGAUGAGCCGCCACACUGGGACUGAGACACGGCCCAGACUCCUACGGGAGGCAGCAGUGGGGAAUAUUGGUCAAUGGGGGGAACCCUGAUCCAGCCAUGCCGCGUGUGUGAAGAAGGCCUUUUGGUUGUAAAGCACUUUAAGCGAGGAGGAGGCUACCGAGAUUAAUACUCUUGGAUAGUGGACGUUACUCGCAGAAUAAGCACCGGCUAACUCUGUGCCAGCCGCCGCCGUAA
RNAcentral lists this ribosomal RNA (501 nucleotides) under uncultured bacterium. RNAcentral describes it as "partial 16S ribosomal RNA". It matches the Rfam family "Bacterial small subunit ribosomal RNA", at positions 30 to 523 of the family's 1533-position model. The record is from RNAcentral.